RNAcentral lists this ribosomal RNA (252 nucleotides) under uncultured bacterium. RNAcentral's name for it is "partial 16S ribosomal RNA". It matches the Rfam family "Bacterial small subunit ribosomal RNA", at positions 57 to 305 of the family's 1533-position model. The record is from RNAcentral.
GCAAGUCGAGCGGUAACAGAGAAUAGCUUGCUAUUCUGCUGACGAGCGGCGGACGGGUGAGUAAUGCUUGGGAAUAUGCCUUUAGGUGGGGGACAACAGUUGGAAACGACUGCUAAUACCGCAUAAUGUCUACGGACCAAAGGGGGGGAUCUUCGGACCUCCCGCCUAUAGAUUAGCCCAAGUGAGAUUAGCUAGUUGGUGAGGUAAUGGCUCACCAAGGCGACGAUCUCUAGCUGGUUUGAGAGGAUGAUC